RNAcentral lists this ribosomal RNA (465 nucleotides) under uncultured bacterium. RNAcentral describes it as "partial 16S ribosomal RNA". It matches the Rfam family "Bacterial small subunit ribosomal RNA", at positions 28 to 507 of the family's 1533-position model. The record is from RNAcentral.
GACGAACGCUGGCGGCGUGCUUAACACAUGCAAGUCGUACGGUAAGGCCCUUUCGGGGGUACACGAGUGGCGCACGGGUGCGUAACACGUGAGUAACCUGCCCACAACUUUGGGAUAACGCUAGGAAACUGGUGCUAAUACUGGAUAUGUGCUCCUGCUGCAUGGUGGGGGUUGGAAAGCUCCGGCGGUUGUGGAUGGACUCGCGGCCUAUCAGCUUGUUGGUGGGGUAGUGGCCUACCAAGGCGGCGACGGGUAGCCGGCCUGAGAGGGUGACCGGCCACAUUGGGACUGAGAUACGGCCCAGACUCCUACGGGAGGCAGCAGUGGGGAAUAUUGCACAAUGGGCGCAAGCCUGAUGCAGCAACGCCGCGGGCGGGAUGACGGCCUUCGGGUUGUAAACCGCUUUCAGCAGGGACGAAGCUUUUUGUGACGGUACCUGCAGAAGAAGCACCGGCUAACUACGUG